CUCAUCAAGAGUAGCUGAGGGAAUGGCCCUAUGACGCUACAGCAACCGCUCCUUUGGGGAAUGGUGCUAAAUCCAUCAGUGUGAUGCUGACAGAUGAGG
Molecule: non-coding RNA, 99 nt
Filed under: human gut metagenome
Description: SAM riboswitch (S box leader)
Rfam family: SAM riboswitch aptamer (S box leader)
About the family: The SAM riboswitch is found upstream of a number of genes which code for proteins involved in methionine or cysteine biosynthesis in Gram-positive bacteria. The SAM riboswitch acts at the level of transcription termination control. The predicted structure consists of a complex stem-loop region followed by a single stem loop terminator region.
Source: RNAcentral